This 501-nucleotide ribosomal RNA is filed under the name uncultured bacterium. RNAcentral's name for it is "bacterial SSU rRNA". It matches the Rfam family "Bacterial small subunit ribosomal RNA", at positions 28 to 521 of the family's 1533-position model. The record is from RNAcentral.
GAUGAACGCUAGCGGCAGGCCUAACACAUGCAAGUCGAGGGGCAGCAUAAAACAAGCUUGCUUGUUUGGUGGCGACCGGCGCACGGGUGCGUAACGCGUAUGCAACCUACCCUGUACUGGGGGAUAGCCCGGAGAAAUUCGGAUUAAGACCCCAUAGCACUUAAGAAUGGCAUCAUUCAUAAGUUAAAGGUUACGGUACAGGAUGGGCAUGCGUCCCAUUAGCUAGAUGGUAAGGUAACGGCUUACCAUGGCAACGAUGGGUAGGGGGCCUGAGAGGGUGGUCCCCCACACUGGUACUGAGACACGGACCAGACUCCUACGGGAGGCAGCAGUGAGGAAUAUUGGACAAUGGUCGGAAGACUGAUCCAGCCAUGCCGCGUGAAGGAUGAAGGCGCUCAGCGUUGUAAACUUCUUUUGUACGGGAACAAAAUGCGACCUGCGGGUUGUACUGAGGGUACCGUAAGAAUAAGCACCGGCUAACUCCGUGCCAGCAGCCGCGGU